AUUGAACGCUGGCGGCAUGCUUUACACAUGCAAGUCGAACGGUAGGGUAGCAAUACCUGAGAGUGGCGAACGGGUGAGUAAUGUAUCGGAACGUGCCCAAGAGUGGGGGAUAGCCCGGCGAAAGCCGGAUUAAUACCGCAUACGAUCUAUGGAUGAAAACGGGGGACCGCAAGGCCUCGUGCUCCUGGAGCGGCCGAUAUCAGAUUAGGUAGUUGGUGGGGUAAAGGCUCACCAAGCCAACGAUCUGUAGCUGGUUUGAGAGAACGACCAGCCACACUGGGACUGAGACACGGCCCAGACUCCGACGGGAGACAGCAGUGGGGAAUUUUGGACAAUGGGCGCAAGCCUGAUCCAGCCAUGCCGCGUGCAGGAUGAAGGCCUUCGGGUUGUAAACUGCUUUUGUACGGAGCGAAAAGGCUUCUUCUAAUACAGGAGGCUCAUGACGGUACCGUAAGAAUAAGCACCGGCUAACUACGUGCCAGCCGCCGCCGUAA
RNAcentral lists this ribosomal RNA (494 nucleotides) under uncultured bacterium. RNAcentral's name for it is "partial 16S ribosomal RNA". It matches the Rfam family "Bacterial small subunit ribosomal RNA", at positions 30 to 523 of the family's 1533-position model. The record is from RNAcentral.